AAAUGUAAGACAUUUUGUUUACAUAUAUACCUACUGAAAGUCAUAUUGGUGACAUUCACUUUUGAAACACUACUUUAAAAAGUUAUGAAUCUUUAUGUACAGGGAUUUAUAUGAAUGUAGGACUCCUAGGUGAUAAAGAAAGCCUAGAAAGGGGUAAGUGAGGAGGAGUUUUCUUCCCCUAGUUUGGAUAAUAUUUUGGCAAAUUCCUUUCCUCUGAAGAGUAGGCUUUGUUAUAGACAUGACUCUGAAUAUAUUUAAUAAUGACUGUUUCCUCCAGUCCACAAAGAGAUCUUUGUUAUAUCCUCCCAUGAAAGUAUGGAUGUAUAGAGGAUUCUCCAUCCCCUAAUACUGUGUCUUCAAGGAACUUCUCCCUCUGGGAAUUUUGCUGUCUUAGGAAUAACUUUGAAGACUCUAUUGGAUCAUUUAAAAAGAGAAAAAAAAGUAACGAGUUAACUACCUUAGGGUUAAACCUAAGAUUAUUUUGAACUUUGGGAAGUGACCCCAUGAGUAUGGAUCUAAAAUAAAUGAAAUGAAAUAAGAUAAAAUAAAGCACAAAAAUAUAUCUAAAACUG
Macaca mulatta (Rhesus monkey) is the source of this 572-nucleotide non-coding RNA. The record is from RefSeq and is a predicted model, not a curated record. Lineage: Eukaryota; Metazoa; Chordata; Mammalia; Primates; Cercopithecidae.